CCCUUAGAUGUUCUGGGCUGCACGCGUGCUACAAUGGCGUUUCCAGCAAGUCUGCGAACCCGAGAGGGCCAGCGGAUCUUCGAAUCGGCGUCGUGAUCGGGACAGUCGAUUGCAAUUAUUUGACUCAAACGAGGAAUUCCUUGUAAUCGCGAUUCAUCAUAUCGCGCUGAAUACGUCCCUGCCCUUUGUACACACCGCCCGUCGCUCCUACCGAUUGAGCGAUCCGGUAAAUGUUUUGGAUUGGUGCCGGGGCGGCUAGCUGCCGGUCGCUACGAAAUUUUGUGAACCUUAUCGCUUAGAGGAAGGAAAAGUCGUAACA
Molecule: ribosomal RNA, 319 nt
Filed under: uncultured eukaryote
Lineage: Eukaryota
Description: partial 18S ribosomal RNA
Rfam family: Eukaryotic small subunit ribosomal RNA
Source: RNAcentral